UACGUAGGGUGCAAGCGUUGUCCGGAAUUAUUGGGCGUAAAGAGCUCGUAGGCGGUCUGUCGCGUCGGCUGUGAAAACCUGGGGCUUAACUCCGGGCCUGCAGCCGAUACGGGCAGACUAGAGUUCGGUAGGGGAGUCUGGAAUUCCUGGUGUAGCGGUGAAAUGCGCAGAUAUCAGGAGGAACACCGGUGGCGAAGGCGGGACUCUGGGCCGAUACUGACGCUGAGGAGCGAAAGCGUGGGGAGCAAACAGG
RNAcentral lists this ribosomal RNA (253 nucleotides) under uncultured bacterium. RNAcentral's name for it is "partial 16S ribosomal RNA". It matches the Rfam family "Bacterial small subunit ribosomal RNA", at positions 524 to 776 of the family's 1533-position model. The record is from RNAcentral.